Molecule: long non-coding RNA, 817 nt
Organism: Talpa occidentalis (Iberian mole)
Lineage: Eukaryota; Metazoa; Chordata; Mammalia; Eulipotyphla; Talpidae
Exons: 3
Source: RefSeq, a predicted model, not a curated record
GGCGGCGGCCCUCGGCCGUCGCAGGGCGGGGCUGGAAGCGCGGACUCGUGCCCCAUGGCCGCCGAGCAGGAGCCGGGCGAGCCCGGGAAGGGAAAGGUAAAAUUAGAAGAUCAUGUGAUGUUGGAGUAGGAGGAUUUUUCUUAGUGACUUUAGGAUGCUGGUUCCACUGUAGGUAUAACUAUGCAAAACAAAGAAUCCAGGAAAGAAUUGCCAGAGAAGGAAUUAAAAAUAAGAUUUUAUAUGAAAGUACCCACCUUGAUCCUGAAAGAAAACAAACCAAUGGCAACAGCAGCAGCUGAGCAAUCUCAGGCAUAGAACACCCGAAUACAACGAAGUCAGUGUGAAAAAAGCUGAGAGCAACUAUAAAAAAACCUACCUAUUAUGUACCAUAAAGCCUUCAAUCAAGUAAAUAAUUUGUGUAAAUUGUAUUUUAUUUACCUACUGCCACUAUGUCAUAUAGUGAACUAUGCUUAGAAGUGUUUCCUUGAACUAAAUAGUGAGCAUACAUGACAACAUCAAGAAAUAAAUCUCUCCCAAUUACAAUUUUAGAAUGAGUGUAUGUGUACUUCCUGGUUUCUAAUGUCAAUGUAUAAGACUUAAACGUAAUGGACUAUCACUCUGCAAAUUGCUGUUUUAAAAUUUACUUGGUGCAUUAAAAUAUUUUCAGAAUUGUCUAAUGCAAAGAAAACACACUACAGGAUUACAUUAAUGUAAAAGACAUAACGAUUCAGUGGCUGCCAUAAAAAACAAUAAAGCACCCCAACACCCAACCAAAUCAGUCUUUAUUCAGGGAAAAAAAAAUCUCCCUUUCCAAACC